CCUACGGGAGGCAGCAGUGAGGAAUAUUGGUCAAUGGACGAGAGUCUGAACCAGCCAAGUAGCGUGAAGGAUGACUGCCCUCUGGGUUGUAAACUUCUUUUAUAUGGGAAUAAAAUGUUCCACGUGUGGGAUUUUGUAUGUACCAUAUGCAUAAGGAUAGGCUAACUCAGUGCCAGCCGCCGCGGUAAUACGGAGGAUCCGAGCGUUAUCCGGAUUUAUUGGGUUUAAAGGGAGCGUAGGUGGAUUGUUAAGUCAGUUGUGAAAGUUUGCGGCUCAACGGUAAAAUUGCAGUUGAAACUGGCAGGCGUGAGUACAGUAGAGGUGGGCGGAAUUCGAGGUGUAGCAGUGAAAUGCUUAGAUAUCUCGAAGAACUCCGAUUGCGAAGGCAGCUCACUGGACUGCAACUGACACUGAGGCGCGAAAGUGUGGGUAUCAAACAGGAUUAGAUACCCGGGUAGUC
Molecule: ribosomal RNA, 460 nt
Filed under: uncultured bacterium
Lineage: Bacteria
Description: partial 16S ribosomal RNA
Rfam family: Bacterial small subunit ribosomal RNA
Source: RNAcentral